GGCUGUUUGGCUGUCACUUGUAGCAAUAACGGCAUUAGUUCUAGUCAGUGCUGUUUUACAUUUUUCUUUUGAUGGGUUUAGUCUUGCACUGGAGUGCCGAUGGUGAUUCUCCCUCCAGAGCCACGCUUGGGAACAUGAAGCAAGCCUGGCAUGUGGGCUGCGUGCCGGCCUUAGUGGACCCGUGGGGAUGGAGCAUGCCUUUAGGGGCAGUGUCUGGGCUGGAAGCACGUGCCACCACACAGUGCCAGAGCCAGAGAAGGGGCCCAACCACCAAGGCCAAGUUUGACCAGGUCGGCAUUGCCAUGACCCAGUGUGGCCCGUGGCCUCUGAAGACCCCUCUCUGCAGGGUUUGCAGGGAUCUGGAUUGCAAGGGCCGGAGUCUGUAGGUCUGGAAGCAUCUUCCUAUAAGAGCGCUUUUGCCUGGUGGGUCAGGACUCCAAGGUGCAGCAGGCUUCACAGCCCUACAAUUAAGUUCUCAGCUAAUCCCCAGAGUUCUGGUAGAACCAUCCCGGGGCGGGCGGAGGGGGGGAUUCAAGGGAGACAGGAACACAUGGGCAGGUCCUGGAAUUCGGUGGCCUGAGGACUGAGGCCAUCGCCUGGUGGAAAGGCCUGGCCAGGUUCCCGUGGCGUGGUACCUGAAUAGGCAGGUGCUGCUGGCUCCGUAGAAACCCUUUCCCCAUCUUUUGCUGUUUGCCAAACCAACCUUGCUUUGGGAGCUGCCUGCACGCCCCCCCCAGAGAAGGCCCCACCUUCUGCGCCCCUCAGACCCGAGGAGGUCUCCCAGUGAGGAGUUUGCCAAGAGGGGGACUCACAGGAAACAAGGCUUGGUGCUUGGGAGGGAGGCCCCGCUGCGUGCUCAGACUCAGCCAACCUGGAAGGUAGACGAGGAGAUGGCACCACCCACGCGCCUCCACACCCCAGACUCCGAGUAAAGCGGGCAGCAGGGCAGGAGUCACCCCUUGUGGCAGUGGCCGCCGCUGUACUCCAUCCUCCCAUCGGGAAGAUCAGCUGUAAAUAAACGCUGGGCUCUUCAGAGCACCUGUCCGCCCACUGCCCUUGCUGUCCUGGGCUCUUCGCUGCAGUUCACGGGAAACCAGCCUGAGUCUGCCCGCAUCCGCGAC
Mandrillus leucophaeus (drill) is the source of this 1121-nucleotide RNA transcript. RefSeq lists it as uncharacterized. The transcript has a single exon. The record is from RefSeq and is a predicted model, not a curated record. NCBI's taxonomy places the organism in Eukaryota, Metazoa, Chordata, Mammalia, Primates, Cercopithecidae.